AUGACUGCGGAGUACCGCGCUCUCCUCAGCAACAACACUUGGGAUCUUGUGCCCCCUCCUCGGGAUGCUAACAUCGUCUCCGGCAAGUGGGUUUUUCGCCAGAAGCUCAAACCCGAUGGCUCCCUCGAUCGCUACAAAGCUCGCUGGGUGCUUCGGGGUUUCUCUCAGGAGCCCGGUGUCGACUUCGACGAGACAUUCAGCCCGGUUGUCAAACCGGCCACCGUGCGUGUCAUCCUCUCCAUCGCGCUCUCUCUUAAUUGGGAGACUCGUCAGCUCGACGUCAAGAACGCCUUUCUACAUGGCACUCUUGCUGAAGUCGUCUACUAUUGUCAACCCACCGGCUUCAUCGACUCCACUCGCCCCGAGCACGUAUGUCGGCUGAACCGUUCUCUAUACGGUCUCAAGCAGGCUCCCCGUGCGUGGUACCAGCGCUUC
This 435-nucleotide ribosomal RNA is filed under the name Triticum aestivum (bread wheat). RNAcentral describes it as "partial small subunit ribosomal RNA". The record is from RNAcentral. Lineage: Eukaryota; Viridiplantae; Streptophyta; Magnoliopsida; Poales; Poaceae.